Molecule: ribosomal RNA, 429 nt
Filed under: Bacillota bacterium
Lineage: Bacteria; Bacillati; Bacillota
Description: Firmicutes bacterium partial 16S ribosomal RNA
Rfam family: Bacterial small subunit ribosomal RNA
Source: RNAcentral
UAGGGAAUCUUCGGCAAUGGACGGAAGUCUGACCGAGCAACGCCGCGUGAGUGAAGAAGGUUUUCGGAUCGUAAAGCUCUGUUGUUAGAGAAGAACGUUGGUAGGAGUGGAAAAUCUACCAAGUGACGGUAACUAACCAGAAAGGGACGGCUAACUACGUGCCAGCAGCCGCGGUAAUACGUAGGUCCCGAGCGUUGUCCGGUUUUAUUGGGCAUAAAGCGAGCGCAGGCGGUUCUUUAAGUCUGAAGUUAAAGGCAGUGGCUUAACCAUUGUACGCUUUGGAAACUGGAGGACUUGAGUGCAGAAGGGGGGAGUGGAAUUCCAGGUGUAGCGGUGAAAUGCGUAGAUAUAUGGAGGAACACCGGUGGCGAAAGCGGCUCUCUGGUCUGUAACUGACGCGGAGGCUCGAAAGCGUGGGGAGCAAACAGG